GAGUUUGAUCCUGGCUCAGGAUGAACGCUAGCGGCAGGCCUAACACAUGCAAGUCGAACGGUAACAGGAAUUAGCUUGCUAAUUUGCUGACGAGUGGCGCACGGGUGCGUAACGCGUAUACAAUCUACCUUUUGCUGAGGGAUAGCCCAGAGAAAUUUGGAUUAAUACCUCAUGGUAUUAUUGAUAGGCAUCUAUUAAUAAUUAAAGGUUACGGCAAAAGAUGAGUAUGCGUCCCAUUAGCUAGUUGGUGAAGUAACGGUUCACCAAGGCAACGAUGGGUAGGGGUCCUGAGAGGGAGAUCCCCCACACUGGUACUGAGACACGGACCAGACUCCUACGGGAGGCAGCAGUGAGGAAUAUUGGACAAUGGGCGAGAGCCUGAUCCAGCCAUGCCGCGUGCAGGAAGACUGCCCUAUGGGUUGUAAACUGCUUUUAUACAGGAAGAAUAAGCCUU
Molecule: ribosomal RNA, 454 nt
Filed under: uncultured Bacteroidota bacterium
Lineage: Bacteria; Pseudomonadati; Bacteroidota
Description: bacterial SSU rRNA
Rfam family: Bacterial small subunit ribosomal RNA
Source: RNAcentral